RNAcentral lists this ribosomal RNA (484 nucleotides) under uncultured bacterium. RNAcentral's name for it is "bacterial SSU rRNA". It matches the Rfam family "Bacterial small subunit ribosomal RNA", at positions 26 to 507 of the family's 1533-position model. The record is from RNAcentral.
AGGACGAACGCUGGCGGCACGCUUAACACAUGCAAGUCGAACGGUAGUUUUUAACGGAAGUCUUCGGACGGAAGGUAAAAGACUUAGUGGCGGACGGGUGAGUAACACGUGAGUAAUCUGCCUUACAGAGGGGGAUAACGUUCUGAAAAGAACGCUAAUACCGCAUAAGCCAACAAAAUCGCAUGGUUUAGUUGGAAAAGGAGCGAUCCGCUGUAAGAUGAGCUCGCGUCCGAUUAGCUAGUUGGCGGGGUAACGGCCCACCAAGGCGACGAUCGGUAGCCGACCUGAGAGGGUGAUCGGCCACAUUGGAACUGAGAUACGGUCCAGACUCCUACGGGAGGCAGCAGUGGGGAAUAUUGGGCAAUGGGGGAAACCCUGACCCAGCAACGCCGCGUGAAGGAAGAAGGCUUUCGGGUUGUAAACUUCUUUACCAGGGACGAAGGACGUGACGGUACCUGGAGAAAAAGCAACGGCUAACUACGUG